CUGAUGCAAACUAUCAGCAGUUAGUAAUAUUUAUACACACAGCUUCUUUAUUGUAGUCAUAUGAUAAUGAAAUCAGUACUUAAAUCAGCACCAAGGAUAGCCGAUCAGACAAAAAAAAUUCUGCAUCCCACUGAACAACACUAUUAUGCAGGACUUAUUUUAAAAGGCCCAGUUCUAAUUUCUAUAAGAGCUUGAAGCUUUGGAGCCAAGGCUACGAACCUUCAAAUCCGACCAAAUAUCUUACCAUGCAAACACGGUAAAAUGGGAAAGAAAGACCAACACUAUUAUGCAGGACUUAUUUUAAAAGGCCCAGUUCUAAUUUCUAUAAGAGCUUGAAGCUUUGGAGCCAAGGCUACGAACCUUCAAAUCCGACCAAAUAUCUUACCAUGCAAACACGGUAAAAUGGGAAAGAAAGACUCUAAAUGUGACGCACCAAAAACGGAAGAAAAUGUUGAACGACCUGGGCGUGAGGAGUUGUGCCGGUGACUUGGUGACGCCGAGCAGCGCAUGGAUGUGGGCCAGCCUGAUGAUGGUGGUGGCGGCGCCCUCUUUUUUUUUAGUUUCCUAUGAUCCAAAGUAGUCG
RNAcentral lists this long non-coding RNA (583 nucleotides) under Triticum aestivum (bread wheat). RNAcentral describes it as "long non-coding RNA (TAES_LNC020994)". The record is from RNAcentral. Lineage: Eukaryota; Viridiplantae; Streptophyta; Magnoliopsida; Poales; Poaceae.